UACGGGGGGAGCAAGCGUUGUUCGGAAUUACUGGGCGUAAAGGGCGCGUAGGCGGCUUGGUCAGUCCCGUGUGAAAUCCCUCGGCUCAACUGAGGAACUGCACGGGAAACUGCCUGGCUAGAGUCCGGAAGAGGAGAGUGGAAUUCCUGGUGUAGCGGUGAAAUGCGCAGAUAUCAGGAGGAACACCAAUGGCGAAGGCAGCUCGCUGGGACGGUACUGACGCUGAGGCGCGAAAGCGUGGGGAGCAAACAGG
RNAcentral lists this ribosomal RNA (253 nucleotides) under uncultured bacterium. RNAcentral describes it as "partial 16S ribosomal RNA". It matches the Rfam family "Bacterial small subunit ribosomal RNA", at positions 524 to 776 of the family's 1533-position model. The record is from RNAcentral.